Molecule: long non-coding RNA, 1046 nt
Filed under: Macaca mulatta (Rhesus monkey)
Lineage: Eukaryota; Metazoa; Chordata; Mammalia; Primates; Cercopithecidae
Description: lncRNA (ENSMMUG00000057635.1)
Source: RNAcentral
CACAAAAUUACUGAAAUGGGGCAUUUAAACCAAGCCAAGUUUUUCAAUGAAAAAGUUCAUGAUAUGGCAGCCUCUUUCCUUUGAAGAAUAGUCAGAAGGCUCAGAAUAGGUCAAUUUUAUAGAGGCAUGAUACUUUCCUAAAGAGGUAUGGACCGAUAUGAGGUUUUAAGCUUUUAUGCUACCUCUGUGUCUUGAAAACAUAGAAACAUUAAAUUUCCGACAAAGAAACAGAGGGACUGGGAGAACUUUUUUUGUUCUGAGUACAGAGUAGAACUGAAGUAAAUGUGAAACAAUGCCAGCGAAAAAUAGUCAAAAGGCCACUAAAGCAAGGAAAAGAAGCAAGGCAUAAUUCCAAGUUUUGGGGGACCACAGCUGUAUACUGAAGAUUACCAGGGGCCAUCAUGAAACAAGGUGCAUAUACUGCAGUUUACAUCUGGGUGAGUAAAUUAUAUAAAAUGACUUCAGGUAUUAUUGGCUUGAGGAAUUAGACUAUUCGUGAUGCAUGCAAUUUUUUUUCACAGCUGACUCCCAGAAGCAAAUGAAUGACUUCACCCAUGACUUACUCCUCUAAGAAGUAAUGACAGAAAUGAUGUCAGGGAAAACCCUGGAGUUGAAUUCUUGACCAGUCAUGGUUUGACUUGAGCCACAGCUGCCUUAUUUGUAAAAUCAUAAAAAUAACACUUGUCCCAACAUAAAAAAAAUUGUGGUGUGAACCCAGGGUGAGAAGUUAUAUGUGAAUGUACUCUAAAAUGUAUAGAUUUCUGUUGUUUUAUUAUUAUUAAAUAGCGUUUUUAUCUUUUGUCAGACCCUGAAGAACAUAUUUGUAUACAAUCCUGAGUAUCCCCUGAAAACCUGUUUUUAUGGAGAAACUUUAGAAGUGUUCAUUGAUUUGGGUUAUAGAUUCUUAUCUGUCGCCCGGUUUGGAGUACAGUGGCACAACUGUAGCUCACCACAGCCUCAACCUUCUGGACUCUAGCAAUCCUUCUGCCUCAGCCUCCCAAGUAGCUGGGACGACAGGUCGGUGCCACCAUGCCCAGCUAAUUUUA